GCCAGCCCGCUCAGAAACUACAAAGGAAGUUGACGGGGCCCGCACAAGCGGUGGAGUAUGUGGUUAAUUCGAUGCAACGCGAAGAACCGUACCUGGUCUUGACAUCCCGGAGACCCUUAGGAAACUAGGGGUGCUUCCAUCUGGAAGAACCUGGAGACAGGUGCUGCAUGGCUGUCGUCAGCUCGUGUCGUGAGAUGUUGGGUUAAGUCCCGCAACGAGCGCAACCCUUGCCUUUAGUUGCCAGCAGUUCGGCUGGGCACUCUAAAGGGACUGCCGGUGUUAAACCGGAGGAAGGUGGGGAUGACGUCAAGUCCUCAUGGCCUUUAUGACCAGGGCUACACACGUACUACAAUGGCCGAUACAAAGGGCAGCGACACUGCGAGGUGAAGCCAAUCCCGUAAAAUCGGUCUCAGUCCGGAUUGGAGUCUGCAACUCGACUCCAUGAAGUUGGAAUCGCUAGUAAUCGUGGAUCAGCAUGCCACGGUGAAUACGUUCCCGGGCCUU
RNAcentral lists this ribosomal RNA (504 nucleotides) under uncultured Desulfobulbus sp. RNAcentral's name for it is "bacterial SSU rRNA". It matches the Rfam family "Bacterial small subunit ribosomal RNA", at positions 903 to 1382 of the family's 1533-position model. The record is from RNAcentral. Lineage: Bacteria; Pseudomonadati; Thermodesulfobacteriota; Desulfobulbia; Desulfobulbales; Desulfobulbaceae.